UGGGGAAUAUUGGACAAUGGGCGAAAGCCUGAUCCAGCCAUGCCGCGUGUGUGAAGAAGGCCUUUUGGUUGUAAAGCACUUUAAGUGGGGAGGAAAAGCUUAUGGUUAAUACCCAUAAGCCCUGACGUUACCCACAGAAUAAGCACCGGCUAACUCUGUGCCAGCAGCCGCGGUAGUACAGAGGGUGCAAGCGUUAAUCGGAAUUACUGGGCGUAAAGCGCGCGUAGGUGGUUAUUUAAGUCAGAUGUGAAAGCCCCGGGCUUAACCUGGGAACUGCAUCUGAUACUGGAUAACUAGAGUAGGUGAGAGGGGAGUAGAAUUCCAGGUGUAGCGGUGAAAUGCGUAGAGAUCUGGAGGAAUACCGAUGGCGAAGACAGCUCCCUGGCAUCAUACUGACACUGAGGUGCGAAAGCGUGGGUAGCAAACAGGAUUAGAUACCCUGGUAGUCCACGCCGUAAACGAUGUCUACCAGUCGUUGGGUCUUUUAAAGACUUAGUGACGCAGUUAACGCAAUAAGUAGACCGCCUGGGGAGUACGGCCGCAAGGUUA
This 549-nucleotide ribosomal RNA is filed under the name uncultured bacterium. RNAcentral describes it as "bacterial SSU rRNA". It matches the Rfam family "Bacterial small subunit ribosomal RNA", at positions 355 to 896 of the family's 1533-position model. The record is from RNAcentral.